UGCCCUAGUACGGCGAGUGAAGCGGCAACAGCUCAAAUUUGAAAGCUGGCUCCGGCCCGCGUUGUAAUUUGCAGAGGAUGCUUUUGGUGAGGUGCCUUCCGAGUUCCCUGGAACGGGACGCCACAGAGGGUGAGAGCCCCGUAUGGAUGGACACCAAACCUGUGUAAAGCUCCUUCAACGAGUCGAGUAGUUUGGGAAUGCUGCUCAAAAUGGGAGGUAAAUCUCUUCUAAAGCUAAAUACCGGCCAGAGACCGAUAGCGCACAAGUAGAGUGAUCGAAAGAUGAAAAGCACCUUGAAAAGGGGGUUAAACAGUACGUGAAAUUGUUGAAAGGGAAGCGUUUGUGACCAGACUUGCGCCGGGCAGCUCAUCAGGGGUUCUCCCCUGUGCACUCUGCCCGGCUCAGGCCAGCAUCGGUUCUCGUGGGAGGAUAAGAACGGUGGGAACGUGGCCCCCCUCCGGGGGGGUGUUAUAGCCCGCCGUACGAUACUCCCGUGGGGACCGAGGUUCGCGCUCCGCAAGGAUGCUGGCGUAAUGGUCAUCAACGACCCGUCUUG
Molecule: ribosomal RNA, 556 nt
Filed under: Cytospora rhizophorae
Lineage: Eukaryota; Fungi; Ascomycota; Sordariomycetes; Diaporthales; Cytosporaceae
Description: LSU rRNA
Rfam family: Eukaryotic large subunit ribosomal RNA
Source: RNAcentral